RNAcentral lists this ribosomal RNA (425 nucleotides) under uncultured bacterium. RNAcentral describes it as "bacterial SSU rRNA". It matches the Rfam family "Bacterial small subunit ribosomal RNA", at positions 356 to 773 of the family's 1533-position model. The record is from RNAcentral.
GGGGAAUAUUGCACAAUGGGCGCAAGCCUGAUGCAGCCAUGCCGCGUGUAUGAAGAAGGCCUUCGGGUUGUAAAGUACUUUCAGCGGGGAGGAAGGGAGUAAAGUUAAUACCUUUGCUCAUUGACGUUACCCGCAGAAGAAGCACCGGCUAACUCCGUGCCAGCAGCCGCGGUAAUACGGAGGGUGCAAGCGUUAAUCGGAAUUACUGGGCGUAAAGCGCACGCAGGCGGUUUGUUAAGUCAGAUGUGAAAUCCCCGGGCUCAACCUGGGAACUGCAUCUGAUACUGGCAAGCUUGAGUCUCGUAGAGGGGGGUAGAAUUCUAGGUGUAGCGGUGAAAUGCGUAGAGAUCUGGAGGAAUACCGGUGGCGAAGGCGGCCCCCUGGACGAAGACUGACGCUCAGGUGCGAAAGCGUGGGGAGCAAAC